AUGCUGAGGCGGUGCAAGAGUUACAGAGCCUCACCGCCAGACGGAGGGCUGGAAGCAGAGACAUCUCAGAAAACCCUGAAACAAACUUUGAUACCGGCAGGCCAACGGCGUCUGCCAGCACAUACAACAGCGGGCACUGACACGCGCAUCGGCAACACGCACACACACACACACACAGAGGGCUCGUGUUCUGCCUGCUCACCUCUCGGUCCAAUUUCUGUCAAACAUUUUUCCCUGCCUCCUUCCACCCUCCCUCCUCUCCUUUUCCUCCCUCCCCGCUUCCUCGCAAGGGGUUACGGCACAGCUGAGCAAAGCACACGGCAGGCAGGGACACGCGUGCCAGGGGCUAUCUGGCCACCUGGGCGAUGUGCUGGGGGGUGGCUGCUGCUGCUGUGCUCCACAGACCUCACUCCUCAGAGCUGUCCCAGCUUCAGCUUCAAAGAGAAGACCCUCGCACAUGCUUGCAAGAGCAAGCUAAGGAUGCGAAGCCCAGCACAGGGCUCGCAGGACUACUUCCAACUCCUCCUGUGCAUCCCGAUGCGUGCACCCCCACCAAGUCGCCCUGCCACCAGCGCCUUUCGCACCAGCUGCUCCCCGAUGCCCCGGCAGCCCCCUUUGGGGUCUCUAACUCGCAGCGGGCAGCCGGGGAAGGGCUGUCCUCCCCCUCCGGAGCCGCUUAGCCGCACAUCAGCCUUUCACCCCUUUUGUCUGCGGCGCCGGGUCGCGCUCCCGUUCAGGGGGGCUUCCAAAUUCAGUCCCCCUCCCGCAGCCCUCACCAGCACCCCGUGUCCCCCCAGCACCCCGGCGGGACCUACCGGGGCUCCCCCGCUGAGGAGGCAGCGGCGGCGUCUGCGGGAGCGGCUCAGGCAGGUGGCGGCGGGGCCGGUCCCAUCCCUGCCGCCGCCUGCGAGGGGGGCUCGGGGGCGCCUUCCCCCGGCCGCCUGCUCCGAGCGGGGCGGAGCGGGGCGGAGCGGAGCCUCCCGCAGGUGGCUCCCCAAGCCGCCACCGCCGUGCCCCGAGUCCCCGGCUCCGAGCCCUCAGCCCCAAAUCCCCAGCUCCGAGCCCCGACCCCCGGCCCCGCUGCCCCCGGCGCAGGCGCCCUGUCCCCGGCCGGCCGGGCGGGAGAAGCCGAGGUCGGGGCCCGGCCCCUCCCUCUCUCCACGCAGGCCUCCCCCACUCAGGCCGCCGCCCCACUUUUUUUUUUUUUUUUCCUGCUUUUUAAGUCUUUACACUGUUGUUUUUAUUAGUUUCGUGAAGAAAAACACCUUUUUUUACAUUCACUCUUUUUAG
RNAcentral lists this long non-coding RNA (1290 nucleotides) under Anas platyrhynchos platyrhynchos (common mallard). RNAcentral describes it as "lncRNA (ENSAPLG00000021965.1)". The record is from RNAcentral. Lineage: Eukaryota; Metazoa; Chordata; Aves; Anseriformes; Anatidae.